RNAcentral lists this ribosomal RNA (468 nucleotides) under uncultured bacterium. Its description in RNAcentral is "partial 16S ribosomal RNA". It matches the Rfam family "Bacterial small subunit ribosomal RNA", at positions 28 to 507 of the family's 1533-position model. The record is from RNAcentral.
GACGAACGCUGGCUGCGUGCUUAACACAUGCAAGUCGAACGGAAAGGCCCUGCUUUUGUUGGGUGCUCGAGUGGCGAACGGGUGAGUAACACGUGAGUAACCUGCCCUUGACUUUGGGAUAACUUCAGGAAACUGGGGCUAAUACCGGAUAGGAGCUCCUGCUGCAUGGUGGGGGUUGGAAAGUGUCGGCGGUUGGGGAUGGACUCGCGGCGGAUCAGCUUGUUGGUGUGGUAGUGGCGUACCAAGGCUUUGACGGGUAGCCGGCCUGAGAGGGUGACCGGCCACAUUGGGAAUGAGCUACGGCCCAGCCUCAUACGGGAGGCAGCAGUGGGGAAUAUUGCCCAAAGGGCGGAAGCCUGAUGCCGCAACGCCGCGUGCGGGAUGACGGCCUUCGUGUUGUAAACCGCUUUCGCCUGUGACGAAGCGUGAGUGACGGUAAUGGGUAAAGAAGCACCGGCUAAAUACGUG